This 72-nucleotide transfer RNA is filed under the name Camelus bactrianus (Bactrian camel). It matches the Rfam family "tRNA". Rfam says of the family: Transfer RNA (tRNA) molecules are approximately 80 nucleotides in length. Their secondary structure includes four short double-helical elements and three loops (D, anti-codon, and T loops). The record is from Rfam by way of RNAcentral. Lineage: Eukaryota; Metazoa; Chordata; Mammalia; Artiodactyla; Camelidae. RNAcentral also lists the same sequence under 2 other names.
GGGCACGUAGCUCAGCGGUAAAGUGUGUGCUUAGCAUGCAUGAAGUCCUGGGUUCAAUCCCCAGUGCCUCCA